Long non-coding RNA from Solea senegalensis (Senegalese sole), 1327 nucleotides. RefSeq lists it as uncharacterized. The transcript is spliced from 3 exons. Lineage: Eukaryota; Metazoa; Chordata; Actinopteri; Pleuronectiformes; Soleidae. The record is from RefSeq and is a predicted model, not a curated record.
AGCAUCUGCAUUUAUUUAAAAAAAAGAAAGAAAAAGAAAGUGAUAUUAAAACCAACCUUUAUUUUCUGGUUUUGCUAGUUUAGAACUUUGACAGUAGAAUCUCUUUUUACUCCUGAAACUUCAGCUUCACAGAGAAUGAGUCUUUCAUUGCUUUGAAUUACUACUAUAUAUGAAGAAUACGUUUACUCGACCGCCUUUUCAGCCUGGAAACUGAAGUAAGUGGGUUUUUUUUCUGUGUUUUUCUCUUGUGGGGGACAUGGGAGCUGUUAAUCUCCUGCUCCCACAUUCGCUUAAUUUGUGUCACUAAAUCCAAACUGAGUUACAGACAUUUGAAAUGACAGGUGGAGGCAGUAGUGGAUUAAAAACUGUGAUGUAAAGUGACAGAUUUUUUUCUGUGGACAUUUGUGAGAUGGGGCAAGACAGAUACUGAACUUGGGAGGGUAACGUUCAAACUUGAACUAUAAAAACCUGUUCUACUUCAAAAUAUACAGCCUAUAAUAAUAUCCACUUAGAUAGAUAGAUUAUGUUGUUCUCAGAGCCUCUUGUGUUAACCUCUUGACCUUAUGUUUUGCAGUGAGUGGACAAUCACAACAACAAAGCAUCUGUGUGUGAGUACUUCAUGUUCUACACCAUGGAUGAGGAGCUUAGCUGCUCCACCUGAAGGGACACAAGAGGCAUCACAGACAUGCAGUGCAACCGGUGACCGAGCUCCAGUGAAAAAAGGGACAGUCUGAGCAGAUGGGCAUCACGUUUUCAGAGAGAGCGAGCGAGCCUCCGUGCCAUGGUGGUCACCAAUGGUGGUCAGCGCUGACUUGAGAUCACUGAAGAACCCAUAGUACUGCAUUUCACCUGCUCCAAGAGGAGAAACCCAGUCUUACUACAUCUGGCUCUGUGUUCUAUGGCUUCGAAAGACAUCGAUUAAGACAUUUUAUGGAGUAGAAAAGGUUGAGUUCUGAGAGUCGACUGAGUGGAGGGUCACAGGCGGGGAGUUCUGGGAAGACAGCAGGAACCCGACUGCCAACAAGGCCAGACUCAGCCCAGUACCUUUAUCAGGAAAAAAAGACACAAUUGACACAAACUGACUAACAAUACUCAUAUUGAUUAGGAACAAAUAAAGCCUGCACAUACAGUCAAUGCCCUUUUUCUCCCCUUGAAUUACGCUAAUGUUGCCUCUGGCUGGCAUUGCCCAGACAUGUUCUCAUGACUUAACCAUUUCAAUGCCAUGCGUUUCAUCGAUCAAUGGAAAAAAAAGAGUAAAGGAUGUGACGACACACAACACUGUAGUGCAGGCAUCACUGUCUCAAUAAAACGCAAAUAAAUGCAUUGA